AGUGAACGCUGGCGGUAGGCCUAACACAUGCAAGUCGAACGGCAGCACAGUAAGAGCUUGCUCUUACGGGUGGCGAGUGGCGGACGGGUGAGGAAUACAUCGGAAUCUACUUUUUCGUGGGGGAUAACGUAGGGAAACUUACGCUAAUACCGCAUACGACCUACGGGUGAAAGCAGGGGAUCUUCGGACCUUGCGCGAUUGAAUGAGCCGAUGUCGGAUUAGCUAGUUGGCGGGGUAAAGGCCCACCAAGGCGACGAUCCGUAGCUGGUCUGAGAGGAUGAUCGGCCGCACUGGAGCUGAGACACGGACAAGACUCCUACGGGAGGCAGCAGUGGGGAAUAUUGGACAAUGGGCGCAAGCCUGAUCCAGCCAUACCGCGUGUGUGAAGAAGGCCUUCGGGUUGUAAAGCCCUUUUGUGGGGAAAGAAAAGCAGCAGGUUAAUACGCAGCUGUUGUGACGGUACCCAAAGAAUAAGCACCGGCUAACUUCGUG
RNAcentral lists this ribosomal RNA (492 nucleotides) under uncultured bacterium. Its description in RNAcentral is "partial 16S ribosomal RNA". It matches the Rfam family "Bacterial small subunit ribosomal RNA", at positions 29 to 507 of the family's 1533-position model. The record is from RNAcentral.